AGCGAACGCUGGCGGCAGGCUUAACACAUGCAAGUCGAGCGGGCCCUUCGGGGUCAGCGGCGGACGGGUGAGUAACGCGUGGGAACGUGCCUUCUGGUCUGGAAUAACCCUGGGAAACUAGGGCUAAUACCGGAUACGCCCUUUUGGGGAAAGGUUUACUGCCGGAAGAUCGGCCCGCGUCUGAUUAGCUAGUUGGUGGGGUAACGGCCUACCAAGGCGACGAUCAGUAGCUGGUCUGAGAGGAUGAUCAGCCACACUGGGACUGAGACACGGCCCAGACUCCUACGGGAGGCAGCAGUGGGGAAUAUUGGACAAUGGCGCAAGCCUGAUCCAGCCAUGCCGCGUGAGUGAUGAAGGCCUUAGGGUUGUAAAGCUCUUUUAUCCGGGACGAUAAUGACGGUACCGGAGGAAUAAGCCCCGGCUAACUUCGUG
This 432-nucleotide ribosomal RNA is filed under the name uncultured bacterium. Its description in RNAcentral is "partial 16S ribosomal RNA". It matches the Rfam family "Bacterial small subunit ribosomal RNA", at positions 29 to 507 of the family's 1533-position model. The record is from RNAcentral.